AACGUAGGAGGCGAGCGUUAUCCGGAUUUACUGGGCGUAAAGCGCACGCAGGCGGUUCCGUUAGUCGGACGUGAAAGCUCCUGGCUUAACUGGGAGAGGCCAUUCGAUACUGCGGGACUUGAGGUUGGGAGAGGAGUGUGGAAUUCCCGGUGUAGUGGUGGAAUGCGUAGAGAUCGGGAGGAACACAUGUGGCGAAAGCGGCACUCUGGCCCACACCUGACGCUGAGGUGCGAAAGCGUGGGUAGCAAACAGG
RNAcentral lists this ribosomal RNA (253 nucleotides) under uncultured bacterium. RNAcentral's name for it is "partial 16S ribosomal RNA". It matches the Rfam family "Bacterial small subunit ribosomal RNA", at positions 524 to 776 of the family's 1533-position model. The record is from RNAcentral.